CUUCACUGGCAACUGCUCUGAGCAGAUUGGUUAGAAAGUGGAGUCUGGGGGAGUAAUGUCCCUCCUGCUGCAUGCAAAGAUCAGGUUUGUGAUCAGCUGAGGAACCUGAACAUCUGAGCCUGUGUUGGCCUGGGAUCAGUGCACUCAUUCCAAGACAGUUAGUACAUUAUGUGGUUUGAAGACCUUCCCUGCUAGCUUUGAGAACUCCACAAAGCCUUUGGAAGAUCUGUGAGAAGGUAGGAGAGUCCCAUUGGAGCCAUGUAAUACUCCCGGAGGAUCUGCCUUCCACUCAGCUCAAAGUCACAAGCUCAGAUAAUGGCACAUUCCAGGCUAAUUGCUUCAGAGAACGGAAAACAGCAAAGAAAAAGCUGAAGUGAAAAACCUUUAAAAACCCUCAACUUUUCACAGUUGGGUCAGAAAGAAAGUGCUGUAAAGGAAUUACUGUCUUGACAAUGCUAGAUUACUUUCUCACUAGCAGACAACAGAAUGAUUUGAAAGUACUGUAUUGUGUACCAUACAGAAUAAUUCUGGAACUGUUCCACGUACUGGUGUGAAUGAACAAGAAAAUAAUCAAUCACUUCAUUUUUAUGAAUGCUACCUAUUUUGCAUACGUCUGUGGUUGUUUAUUUUUGGAAGUUAGGUGUGUAAUGGUGGCUUUGACUAACUCAUAUAUCAAUAUCUAAGUAUGGAUUUGCAAGAGCUUUAAGAAGAUGGGUCUUAGGAUUGUUAUUAUUUCAUGCAUAAAAAGUAUGAGGAACAGAGAUAGUUAAUGACACACCUUCUAAAUGACAUCUGGUAAAUGGAGGAACUGGAACUACACAUACUUACUGUCUUUUUCCUCACCAGUUUUUCUCCAGAUUUUUAGUUGCUUCUACUUUGGAACAUGUAAAUUCUAAGGAUUUUUUGAACCAUGUAUGCUAUUUUACAAUGCUAUUUCUUUCUUUGCAGUUUAAUAAAGUAAUUUAACUUGUUUCACACGUAUUUAGAGGUAAAGAUUCCAGCAAGUGGAGCCUGAACAUAGCACAAAAACUACUAGCAUCUUUUUCUGAAGUAGGUUGCUUAGGUGUUUUUGUUUUAGAGUGAAAUGAGUAUUUAACUAAAUAUCUUUAAUGAACUUUGCACAGAAAUGAAAACAGUAGGUCUCCUCUUUAAUGCUAGGUAAAAACAUAUUCUUUUAGAGAAGAUUGAUUUCUUUUCAAAUAUCUCCUAAUCAAAAGUUAAUUUCCAAAAUUUAAUGCUGAUGUUUACCACUAUCAAAAUAAUCAGUGAGCAUAAAUUUCCAAGAAUACAGGCAUGCACAUAGCACCUGAUCAUGUAGUGAGGUAGUAAGAAUCAUUGGACUUGAAAGAGGAAAAACCAGAGGAAGGAUCAUUUUUCAGACAGUCAACACUAAGCCACUUCUUCAUGUCCUACUCUUCAGGGAAAGGAGCUGAGAUACCUUCUUGUGUUGUCUAUGCAGAUACACCAAGAUUCAUAGCAGUCCCCUUAUAAUGACAAUGGUACUUACAUAAAGUGUUUUUCAGAAAUGUACUUCAGUACAAUUUAUGAACAUUUAAAAAAAUGGAGCAUCCGCCAUUUUCCAUGACUGUUUUAGUAGUCACCCAUAGCUACUCUUGUUUUCAUUUUUAACUUUGAACUGGUAUGUUGUGUAUUUUUUUAAAGUCAUUGGCUCUGGUUGUUUCUUUGACAUAUGCACUUCACUGAUAGGAAUGAAGAUGAAGGCCUUGCAGGAUAGCAAGAAUUCAGCGUGACCCUGACAAAAAUCCAUGCCCAAAUCCAUUAUCAGGCCUUUCUGCUAUGUCAUGCCAACACUUGACUCAGUAAGCCAUCUCUGGAUGAGAAUUUAGCUUCAAGGUUGUGUAUGUUUUAGUAAGAAAAAUAUGCAUUUCAACAUGUAAUAAGAAAGUUAUUUCUGUUUUAUGAUUCAUUGAAAGUUGACUUAGCUUUGCUUAGGAGUGAAAAAAGCAUUAUUGAGAGAGACUCUGAAAAAUACUGAAACAUGCAAUUGCAAGAAAUCCCUUUGAUUAUGAAAUCGUGUUUAUCCUGGAUAUGUCUAACAUGCAUAUAAUUUGAUUCAAGCUUAUCGCAAGCCAGAAUUAGAACAGCAGAUUGCUUACUUUUAGGGAGAAGUGUAAUCCAGGGCUUUACUGCUUACAUGAUUUGUGUAAUUAGAAAAGGGCCAUGGUUGAUGUCA
Molecule: long non-coding RNA, 2194 nt
Organism: Lagopus muta (rock ptarmigan)
Lineage: Eukaryota; Metazoa; Chordata; Aves; Galliformes; Phasianidae
Exons: 3
Source: RefSeq, a predicted model, not a curated record